AUGAACGAGUCCUCCUCCCUCUCCCUCGCUCCACCCGGGGAGUCCAUGGCGGAGGUGCACGCCGGCAACCGCGAGCGCCUCGUCGCCGCGCUCCGCGCCCACCUCUCCGCCGCCGGCCGCCCUCUCCGCGGCAUCGUCCUUCUCAAGGGCGGCGAGGAGCAGACCCGUUACUGCACCGACCACGUCCCGCUCUUCAGGCAGGAGAGCUACUUCGCGUAUCUGUUCGGGGUGCGAGAGCCGGGGUUCUACGGCGCCGUCGACAUUGGUUCCGGACAGUCCAUCUUGUUCGCUCCAAGGUUCUCACCUGACGACGCUAUUUGGAACGGCAAACCCAAAAAAUUGCCUUACUUCAAGGACAUGUACAAGGUCGAUUCUGUCUUCUAUGUUGACGAGCUUGCGCAGGUUCUCCGAUGUGAAUGCAGUGAGCAUGGCCAUGGAGAGCCGCUUCUCUUCCUCUUAUACGGACAGAACACCGACAGCGGGAACUACUCAAGGCCUGCCAGUUUCGAGGGGAUGGACAAGUUCGACACCGACUUAAGCACGCUGCAUCCCAUCUUGACUGAAUGCCGUGUUACAAAAUCUGACAUGGAGCUUGCCCUCAUUCAGCAUGCCAACGAUGUCAGCUCAGAAGCGCACGUUGAGGUCAUGAGGAAGAUCAAGCCAGGCAUGACGGAAAAUCAGUUGGAGAGCACCUUUCGUUGCCAUGCAUCCAUGCACGAAGGCUGCCGGCGUUGCUCCUACACAUGCAUAUGUGCCACUGGACAGAACAGUUCCAUUCUUCAUUAUGGACAAAAUGAUGGGACGGUGAACGACGGAGACAUGGCUCUGAUGGACAUGGGAGCUGAAUACAACUUCUAUGCCUCUGACAUCACAUGUUCAUACCCUACCAAUGGAAAAUUCACAAGAAAUCAGGCAGUUGUGUACAAUGCCGUCCUCAAGGCUCAUAAUGAUGUGAUAUCGCAUAUGCCGCCUGGAGUAAAAUGGAUCGACAUGCACAAGCUGGCGGAGCGGAGAAUACUUGAGUCUCUAAAGGAAGAAGAUAUCAUCCGUGGUGAUAUUGGUGACAUGAUGGACAGAAGGUUGGGUGCCGUUUUCAUGCCUCAUGGUCUUGGGCACUUGCUUGGAAUCGACGCCCAUGAUCCCGGAGGCUACCCUGAGGGUUUGGAGAGGCCGGAGGAGCCGGGAUUGAGAUCCUUGCGGACCACAAGAGAACUUAAACAAGGCAUGGUUAUUACGGUCGAGCCGGGCUGUGAUUUCAUUGACGCUUUGCUGGGGCAGGCCAGGGAUGACCCAAUUUGCUCAAGCUUCUUCAACUGGGAAAAGAUAGAAAUGUACCGAAGCUUUGGUGGUGUUCGCAUCGAAAGUAAUGUGUAUGUGACGGCGCAAGGAUGCAAGAACCUCACGAACUGCCCCCGAGAGAUCUGCGAAAUCGAAGCGGUAAUGGCUGGUGCGCCCUGGCAUUCACGUGAUUCCUGUUCCAGUGCAACAACAACAGAGAAUGGCCUUAGCAAAGCCUAA
This 1518-nucleotide ribosomal RNA is filed under the name Triticum aestivum (bread wheat). RNAcentral's name for it is "partial small subunit ribosomal RNA". Lineage: Eukaryota; Viridiplantae; Streptophyta; Magnoliopsida; Poales; Poaceae. The record is from RNAcentral.